CCUACGGGGGGCAGCAGUAGGGAAUAUUGCGCAAUGGGGGAAACCCUGACGCAGCAACGCCGCGUGGAGGAUGACACUUUUCGGAGCGUAAACUCCUUUUCUUAGGGAAGAAUUCUGACGGUACCUAAGGAAUAAGCACCGGCUAACUCCGUGCCAGCAGCCGCGGUAAUACGGAGGGUGCAAGCGUUACUCGGAAUCACUGGGCGUAAAGGGCGCGUAGGCGGAUUAUCAAGUCUCUUGUGAAAUCUAAUGGCUUAACCAUUAAACUGCUUGGGAAACUGAUAGUCUAGAGUGAGGGAGAGGCAGAUGGAAUUGGUGGUGUAGGGGUAAAAUCCGUAGAUAUCACCAAGAAUACCCAUUGCGAAGGCGAUCUGCUGGAACUCAACUGACGCUAAGGCGCGAAAGCGUGGGGAGCAAACAGGAU
This 424-nucleotide ribosomal RNA is filed under the name uncultured Dialister sp. RNAcentral's name for it is "bacterial SSU rRNA". It matches the Rfam family "Bacterial small subunit ribosomal RNA", at positions 338 to 778 of the family's 1533-position model. The record is from RNAcentral. Lineage: Bacteria; Bacillati; Bacillota; Negativicutes; Veillonellales; Veillonellaceae.